CAGUACAAAAUGGCUCGACUCCCAGGU
This 27-nucleotide non-coding RNA is filed under the name Bombyx mori (domestic silkworm). The record is from RNAcentral. Lineage: Eukaryota; Metazoa; Arthropoda; Insecta; Lepidoptera; Bombycidae.